This 425-nucleotide ribosomal RNA is filed under the name uncultured bacterium. RNAcentral's name for it is "partial 16S ribosomal RNA". It matches the Rfam family "Bacterial small subunit ribosomal RNA", at positions 354 to 796 of the family's 1533-position model. The record is from RNAcentral.
GUGGGGAAUCUUGCGCAAUGUGCGAAAGCCUGACGCAGCCAUGCCGCGUGAAUGAUGAAGGUCUUAGGAUUGUAAAAUUCUUUCACCGGGGACGAUAAUGACGGUACCCGGAGAAGAAGCUCCGGCUAACUUCGUGCCAGCAGCCGCGGUAAUACGAAGGGGGCUAGCGUUGCUCGGAAUUACUGGGCGUAAAGGGCGCGUAGGCGGACAGCUUAGUCAGAGGUGAAAGCCCAGGGCUCAACCUUGGAAUUGCCUUUGAUACUGGCUGUCUUGAGUUUGGGAGAGGUGAGUGGAACUCCGAGUGUAGAGGUGAAAUUCGUAGAUAUUCGGAAGAACACCAGUGGCGAAGGCGACUCACUGGCCCAAUACUGACGCUGAGGCGCGAAAGCGUGGGGAGCAAACAGGAUUAGAUACCCUUGUAGUCC